RNAcentral lists this transfer RNA (73 nucleotides) under Caudoviricetes sp. RNAcentral describes it as "tRNA-Ile". The record is from RNAcentral. Lineage: Duplodnaviria; Heunggongvirae; Uroviricota; Caudoviricetes.
GGGCGGUGCGCAUAACGGAAUUAUUGCGGGCAGGAUACGCCGAUUGUGGGUUCAAGUCCCACACCGCCCUCCA